This 253-nucleotide ribosomal RNA is filed under the name uncultured bacterium. Its description in RNAcentral is "partial 16S ribosomal RNA". It matches the Rfam family "Bacterial small subunit ribosomal RNA", at positions 524 to 776 of the family's 1533-position model. The record is from RNAcentral.
UACGUAGGCAGCGAGCGUUGUUCGGAGUUACUGGGCGUAAAGGGUGCGUAGGCGGUUUUCCAAGUUUGGGGUGAAAUCUCCCGGCUCAACUGGGAGGGUGCGUCGAAAACUGGAGGACUGGAGUAUCGGAGAGGUAAGCGGAAUUCCUGGUGUAGCGGUGAAAUGCGUAGAGAUCAGGAGGAACACCUGUGGUGUAGACAGCUUACUGGACGGUGACUGACGCUGAGGCACGAAAGCGUGGGUAGCAAACGGG